RNAcentral lists this ribosomal RNA (468 nucleotides) under uncultured bacterium. Its description in RNAcentral is "partial 16S ribosomal RNA". It matches the Rfam family "Bacterial small subunit ribosomal RNA", at positions 28 to 507 of the family's 1533-position model. The record is from RNAcentral.
GACGAACGCUGGCGGCGUGCUUAACACAUGCAAGUCGAACGGAAAGGCCCUGCUUUUGUGGGGUGCUCGAGUGGCGAACGGGUGAGUAACACGUGAGUAACCUGCCCUUGACUUUGGGAUAACUUCAGGAAACUGGGGCUAAUAUCGGAUAGGAGCUCCUGCUGCAUGGUGGGGGUUGGAAAGUUUCGGCGGUUGGGGAUGGACUCGCGGCUUAUCAGCUUGUUGGUGGGGUAGUGGCUUACCAAGGCUUUGACGGGUAGCCGGCCUGAGAGGGUGACCGGCCACAUUGGGACUGAGAUACGGCCCAGACUCCUACGGGAGGCAGCAGUGGGGAAUAUUGCACAAUGGGCGGAAGCCUGAUGCAGCAACGCCGCGUGCGGGAUGACGGCCUUCGGGUUGUAAACCGCUUUCGCCUGUGACGAAGCGUGAGUGACGGUAAUGGGUAGAGAAGCACCGGCUAACUACGUG